This is an RNA transcript of Macadamia integrifolia, 11481 nucleotides long. RefSeq lists it as uncharacterized. NCBI's taxonomy places the organism in Eukaryota, Viridiplantae, Streptophyta, Magnoliopsida, Proteales, Proteaceae. The transcript is spliced from 2 exons. The record is from RefSeq and is a predicted model, not a curated record.
UUGCAUAACAUCAAGCUUAAUUCUUUGGUUUAUGAUACACAUGGAUUUUAAUAAUCUAUACUGUUCAAAUGCAUAAAAAAUGGGUUCCAGCUUAUGUGCUCAAUUAGAUUGCUUGUUAUUGUUAAUCUUUUUUUAGCACAUUAAAGUCAUCGUUGUUAUAUAUAAUUUGAGCAUAUUUAGUUUAUAAAAAGUUUAUGUUUUUUGUUUAUUUGCAUUAUUUCAGCUUCAUAGAUUAUCUUACUAGUGAAUAUAAUAGGAGUUAUCAUUACGAUUAUUUUAGAAUAGAAUAUUAAAAAAAAAAAAAAUUACCAUCAGCUAGCCUUGAAAGAAAAAGAAAUCCAAGAAUUACAAGAAGCCUUGAAGCUUAUCCAGAAAAAUAAAGUUGUGAUGGCAAAAAUACUAACACAAUCAGCCUAUGAAAAUCUUAUUGACGGAAUCCAAAAGAUGGAAGAAACAUUAAAGCAAAAAUAAAAAUAUGAAAACUUUUUCAGAAAGAAUGAAAGCAAAAAUUAAGUCUACAAAAGCAAGAAUGGAGCAGAUAAUUUCAAAGAACCUUUACUCGGAAGCUUUCAGCGCAUCCAAGGAAGACUUGCCCAAAGAUAUGUCGUUUUCACCAACUUUUCAAAAAGUAUCUAUCUUAAAAAAAAAAAAAAAAAAAUGGGGGAGAAAAAGAAAGGAAGAAGUCUUCAAAAAUCGGAAAGCAGAAGCUUUAUUGGAGUUUCAAAAAGAAGAUGCUAACUUUUUCAAAAAGCAGAUUCCACUAACAGUGUUAUCCUUAUCACUGUUAACUUUCAAAAAGGAAUAUUCCCACUGAUAGAGGAAAUAUUUUCUAUGACAGUUGUCUCUGUCAAAUAAUGUAAUUUAGAUUCACGGAUCUGAAAAAGAAAUUCUCUCUUGUAUAUACUUUGCUAUUUAAAUAGAGUAGGAGGGGAGUCUUGGGAGGAAGGAAGGAGUUUCUUCGGAAGUCUCUUUGUUUUCUUAGAGUCCUUGCAAAGAGUUCUACAGUCUUUUGAUAAAAUAUUUUCCAGAAGCAAUUUAAGAAAGUGAUUUUCUAUCUACAUCAUUCAUGUAAGUCCUCUUUCAUUUAUGUUUAGUUAUGUAAUUUGUUUUAUAGUAGCUUCUUCUAUUCUCAGAUCAAAGCCUACAAUCGUGUCUUUUGAUUCUGUGAAAUAGAUCUAGUUAAGCAGCCUUAUUAUUGUUAUGUUUAUAGUUAAACAUGAGUGAGUAAGUUCAUCUUAUCAAAAGAGUUAAGGGUGGAUGUGUGGUUAAGACAAGGGCAUUAUGUUUAUAUAAAUUUAUAAUUUAGAAUUGUAAAUUCUGAUGUUAUUCUUCCGAAAUGAUUGGAAGUGGGUUAAGGUUGAAGAUCUUUCUUAGGGAGUGAUUAGGACACUUGAACUCUGUAUUAUGUCAGGAGCAGUGGACUGAUAUAUAACUAGAGAGGAGUCUAAUUGAAACUUGCAUAGGACGCCAUGUCUAUACAACUCACAUCCUCACAGUGGGAUUCAACCGGUGAUACACGCACAGUAAUUUAGACCCAGUUCUUUUGAAAUGUUAACUCAAACAAUCUUUUUACUCUAGUGGAAUACUUAGCUAGGGACUACAAGUCUUCUAGUUCAUGUAGGACGCCAUGCCAACAUGAUUCAUAUCCUCACAUAGGGGUUCUGCUCACUGGGACUUAAAUGGCUUCCUUGCCUCAACGUCCAGAGCGUAAGUUCCUAUUCUUUUUUGAAUAUUACUAGAAGAGAUUGCAGUAUAAUCUUAAAGCUAUUUAGUCUGAAUGAGAGUAAGUACCGGUCUAGAUCUAGAGUUUUAGACUACUCUCUGGUUAUAUAUCAGUCCACUGUUCCUGACAUAAUACAGAGUUCAAGUGUCCUAAUCACUCCAUAAGAAAGAUCAACCUUAACCCACUUCCAAUCAUUUCGGAAGAAUAAUAUUAGAAUUUACAAUUCUAAAUUAUAAAUUUAUAUAAACAUAAUGCUCGUCUUAAUCACACAUCCACCUUUAACUCUUAUGUUAAGAUGAACUUACUCACUCAUGCUUGAUUAUAAACAUAACAAUAAUAAGGCUGCUUAACUAGAUCUAUUUCACAGAAUCAAGAGGCACGACUGUAGGCUUUGAUAUGAGAAUAGAAGAAGAAGCUGCUAUAAAACAAAUUACAUAACCAAAAAUAAAUGAAAGAAGACUUACAGGAAUGAUGUAGAUAGAAAAUCACUUCCUUGUAUUGUUUCUGGAAAAUAUUUUAUCAAAAGACUGUAGAACUCUUUACAUGGACUCUAAGAAAACAAAGAGACUUCCUAAGGAACUCCUUCCUUCCUCCCAAGACUCCCUUUCUACUCUAUUUAAAUAGCAAAGUAUAUACAAGAGAAUUUCUUUUUCAGAUUCGUGAAUCUGAAUUACAUUAUUUGACAGGGACAACUGUCAUAGAAAAUAUUUCCUAUCAGUGGGAAUAUUCUUUUUUGAAAUUGUUAACAGUGAUGAGGAUAACACUGUUAGUGGGAAUCUGCUUUUUGAAAAAGUCCGCAUCUUUUUCAGAUUCGUGAAUCUGCUUUUUGUUGCAUCUUCUUUGGCAAUAUUGCCAAAGGCUUGUUAUAUGAUACCCACAGAUUAUCUAAGAUAACCUGUUCGUCGGUGCCAAAGGCAGCAGAAAUGAUGCAACAAGCCUUUGGCAAUAUUGGAAUAAAAGAAGAAUAUAAAUAAGCCCCAGAACAUGAGAUUCAGUAUGGAAUAAGCUAUUUGAAGCCGAUAGAUGAACCUUAUAGGUUCAGAAGCAUGUAUAAAAUAGGUACCGAAGAGCAGGUUAUCUUAGAUAAUCUGUGGGUAUCAUAUAACAAGAUUUUGAAAGAUUCAUAUAAUAAGCAAAGAAGAGAGCAUUUUAUGACUAGCAUUAAUUGCUGCAGUUAUCAAUUUACCAAGAUAAAAGAAGCUAGAAAAGAAAAUUAUCCCUAUUAUGUUUUGGUUGAAGGACAUACGCCGGGAGUAUAUGAUAGAUGGACAUAAGUGAUACAACUUAAGAAUUAUCCCAAGCAUCCUUGGUUUAAAGGAUUCAAUAAAUUAGAAAAACUAGAUUAUGCUCGUCGUAAUCUGGGUCCACAUUUCUAUAUCAGAGAUACAAGUUUUAAAGAAGCAUUAAGUGUGAACAAUGUGAUACAACAAAUUUCAGAAUUGCAGAAUUACAGAAGAAUUGAGCCCCAGCUUAAAGAAGAGUUGCAGGUCACCAAAGAAAGGACAAUAUUACCAUCAACUAGCCUUGAAAGAAAAAGAAAUCCAAGAAGCCUUAAAGCUUAUCCAGAAAAAUAAAGUUGUGAUGGCAUCAACACCAACACCUCCAGCCUAUGAAAAUCUUCUUGACCGGAUCCAGCCAGAAGAUGGAAGAAACAUUAAAGCAAAAAAAAAAAAUAUGAAAAAGCUUUUUCAUAAAGAAUGAAAGCAAAAACUGAGUCUACAAAAGCAAGAAUGAAGCAGAUAUUUUCAAAGAACCUUUAUUCGGAAACUUCCAGCGCAUCCAAGGAAGACUUGCCCGAAAUACGUAAAGAAGAUAUGUCGUUUUCACCGACAACUUUUCUAUGUUAAAAAUAUACUAUCCAUUAUUCUUUGAAAUACUCUGGGUGCAUUUUUUAAUCCAAAAGACAUUACAUUCCAUUCAUAAUGUCCUUCAGUUGUUGUAAAGGCUUUUUCUUCCAUAGCUAUUUGAUGAAAGCCUGAUUUUAAAUCUAAUUUUGAAAAUAUUUUAGUUUUUUGUAUAAAUUGGAUUAAGAAAUUCUUUUGCGGUAAGUUAUAUGCAUCAUCUAUUGUAUUAUCAUUUAAUCUUUUCUAAUUUGUUACUUCUUCUUUUCUCACUUUCUUUCAUGACUAUCAUGGGUGCUGAUCUAUGUGGGCUAUUAGAUUCUCUUAUUAAUUUUAAUUCUAAUAAUUCUUUAAUAUGUAAUUUAAAUUGUUCUGAAUUUAUUGAGUGAUAUUUUGGUACUCCUGAAUUUAUUUUUAAAUUUGUAUUUAUGAUUUCUAACCUCAUUGUAGGUUUAUCUUUCUCCCAAUGUCUUAAAGGGUUUUUAUCUUGGAUUAUUUCUAUUUUUUCUAAUCUUUCUACCGCUUUCUUAGUACUAUUAGAAUUUUCUAAAACUGAUAGAAUUACUGAUGGAUUUAUUCCAUCAUUAAAAUCUGUUUGGUCUUGUUCUAGAUUAAUUUCUUCAGAUUCUUUAAAUUUUUCAUAAUUAUUAUCAUUUUCUUGGGUUAUUUCUCUAGUUAUUUUACACUGUCCUGGUAUUUCACAAGGACAUUCUUCAAAUAUUUUUUCAUUAUUUUUAGGUUUUGGAUAGGGUGGAUAGACUGGUGUUUAUGUUAUAUUUUUGAAUAUUAUAAUACUAUGUUAAUAUAUAAUCCUCCUGAUUGUGUUAAUAUGAAUUCUAAUCCUAAUAAUAUAUCCCAAGGACAUUUCCUUAGGUAUACAUCAUUAAGUGGAUAAUCUGUUGAAUAUUUAUCAUAUACAUCUUUAAAGCUUAUAGAGGCUGGUUUUAAGCUAUAUUUAUGUUCAGUUUCUAUUCCAUCUACUGAUGUUGCUGCUGUUGAAUUCUUAAUUUCUUCAAAAUCAUUUUGGUAAAAAAACUUUGGAUUUAUUAUAGAACUAGUACAUCUUGUAUCUAUUAUAGCUUGUAUCUAUUAUAGUUUUUAAGUAGACUAUUUUCUUAUUUAAUUUUAUUCUACAAAAUGUUUGUAAAUUAUUUAAACUGUUUUUUACCUGACAGAAUAUAAAUGUUUCUGUUGUUUCUAUUUCUGGUUUUUCUAUAGUGGCUAACACAUGAUGUUCUGUAUUGAGGUUACUACUACUAGGUCUAUCAUCUGUUGAUCCAAAUCCUCUUAUUCUUUUUAUAUGAGGUUCUUGUUCAUAGUUUGGGAAGAUAAUAGCUUGUGCUAAUUUUUGUCCUGUGUUUUGAUAGUAUGUGUUAUUUGAGUAUAAUUCCUUAUUAUUACAUGUAUAUUGUCUUUAUAAUCAGAGUCUAAUAUUCCUCCUAAUAUCAUCAGUCCUCUUGCUGUCAUACUCGAUCUUGUUUCUAAUUUUAUCCCAUAUUUUUCUGAAAUUGAAUAUCUUACUUGAACAUCUACUAUUGUAAUGUCAUUUGGUAAUAUAGUUAUUUCCAUAGGUGAAAAUAUAUCAUAUCCUAAAGAUCCUUUUGUUGAUUUUGCUGGUUUUAUUCCUCCAUUUUCAAUUAUCACCAUCCAUUCUAUUCUUGGUUCUUCCAAUACCAUUAGAUCAUGAUCUUCUUUAUUUUGUAAUUGAGCUUUUAGUAUGGUUAUUUCAUCUUCUAAUAUCUCAAUUUUCCUAGUAAUUAUUUUGUCUUGGACAAUUUCUAAUUUAUUUAAGCAGUUUAUAUCUUUCUUCAAAACACUUUUCACAUUGAUAUCUUACUGUUAUCCAAGGAUUUCUUUGACAUUUCUUACAUGCUAUAUCAUGUGAUCCUGAUCCAUUUUUUCAUCGAUGAUUAUCUUCUAUACAUGUAUUUGUUAAUGCACAUGUUUUCUAAAUAUUGUUGCAUUUCACUUGGUAUUUCUUCUUCUUCAUUUUCAUCCUCAAGAUUUGGAUUAAAUAUUUCUAUCGAUACAAUACUAUAAAUUGAUUCUGUAUCACUUAUAUCAUCUUCAACAUCUAUUAAACAACAUUUUGAAUCUUGUACUACUAGAGAUCUUUUUGUCCUCAUUUAUUCUUCUUGGACACUUUGAUGCCAAAUGAUCAUCUCUAUCACAUAUAAAGCACCUUAACUUCUUUUUAUCGAUUCUGUCUGGAUCAUACAUUCUAGCAUAAUGAUCUCUGUUUAAAAAUGGUCUUCUUGCAUCUGACCUUCUAAGGUAGUAUCUCUUCUGAGGUCUAUAAUUACUUCUUCUUUGAUAUCUAGGUCUAUAUUGUAUUCUUUGUGGUCUAGAUUUUAUACUUUGUUUUCUUCGAUAAAUAUCCUUAUCUUAUUUUCCAUAUAUUUGGGGAACAUAAAUAUCCUUACAAUUUUGUAAGGAUAUUGUUCUCUUUGAAAUUGUUGUUGGAUUUGUAUAGUUAUGCAUUUUUCUUUUAAGCAUUUUAUAAUAUGUAUUCUGAUACCUAUAUUAUCAUUUAUGGGAUGCCAUUUUUGUCUUAUUUCUUCUCCUAAUUGUCCUGGUUAUUUUUUAAAUAAUUUAUCCUUUACUGAAUGAGUAAAAUAAUUUCCACUUAUACUUGCAAAAUAAUAAUAUUCUUUUAAGAAAAUCUUUGCAUAUCUAUAAUUUGUUAAAAUUAAUCUUUCUAGCUGUGCUAAAGCUUCUGUCUGUUGUUCUAUUCUAGGACUGUUAGGGUCUUUCCCUGUUUCUAGCAUAUAUAUUUUGUUAACAAAAUUAUAUGGAUUUGGUCCAAAGGUUUUUAAUGUUCUUAUUUCAUCUGGAUAUUCUACCUUAUAUCUUUCCCAAUUUGCUUUCAUAGUUUCUCCUAAAAAUGUUUCUAAAUAUUGAUAUAAUUCAUUAACCUCCAUUGGUUCUUUAAACUGUAAACAGUCAUUUAUAACUUUACUUUUCCAAAUAUCAAGUACUGAAUCUAAUUUUUGGGGAUCAUGAUAUCCUAUGUUUAGUAUUUUACCAGAUUAUUUAUUAUCUGCAAAUGUUACUGGUUCUUCUAUUGGUAAUCUUUUCCCUCUAGGCUUAUAGUAUUUAAAAUCAUCUUUUAGUUGUCUUAACUCUGUUGGUUCUAAUUUCCAUCUUGGUUUAUUUUCCCAUGCCAUAUUUGGGUUAUUAGAUCAUAUGGUCUUGUAUUAUCGUAUCCGCCAUCAUUCAUUGCUUCUAUAUUUUGUAGUUCUGAUAUAUCAGAUGCUAGGCUAUCCGUGUCAUUUAUUUCUUCAUUGAUUAAUAGUCUAGGAUUUAUUUCACUAAUUUCAUCAUUGAUACUUUCAUUUUCUUCUUCUAUGGAUUUUCUUAUUAUAAAUCUAUCUCCUCUGUCAAUUAAUUCUUCAUCUUCUGUCAUUAUUCCUGAUUCUAUUGUUAAAUUUUCUAGUCUAAUUUUGUCGUCUUUAGUAAGUUCUAUUUCAUACUUUCUUUUAUACAAUAAUGUUCCUAUCAAUCCAUAUUUAUCAUGUUGUUUUAAUAUUUUAAUUUUUUUCUGUUAUUAUUCUAUCUUCUAUUACGGCUGAUGUGAUAUUCUGGUUUUCUAGAUCUCUUAUUAGUCUCUCUUUCCUCAUUAUCUAUAGUAUCUGCUGUACUACUUUCAGCUCCUGGUCUUGUUUCAUAAUCUAAAAAUCUCAAUCUGUAAUUAUUAUUACUAUCUUGGUAUAUUAAACUAUUCCUGGGUACAAAGACUGUAUUUGUUUCACUAUCCUCUGUAAUUUUACUUAUGUUUCACUAUCCUCUGUAAUUUUACUUAAAUUCCAUUCUUGUUGGGUCUAUUUCUGGUAGUAAUUUAGGCUCAGUUCUUUUGGAAUGUUAACUCAAACAGUCUUUUUACUUUGGGGAAUAAUUAGCCAGGGACUACAAGUCUUCUAGUUCAUGGAGGAUACCAUGCCAACAUGAUUCAUACCCUCACAUAGGGGUUCUGCUCACCAGGACUCAAACGGCCACCUUGCCUCAACGUCCAGAGCGUAAGAUCCUAUUCUUUUGGAAUAUUACUAGAAGAGGUUGUAGUAUAAACAUAAGGCUACUAGUACCAAUCUUGAUCGAGAGCUUUAGACUACUCUCUGGUUAUAUACCAAUCCACUACUCCUGAUAUAAUACAGAAUUCAAGUGUCCUAAUCACUCCCUAAGGAAGAUCUUCGAUCUUAACCCACUUCCAAUCAUUUCGGAAGAGUGGUACUAGAAUUUACAAUUUAAACUAUGGACUCACAUGUACAUAAUGCUCUUAUCUUGUCCUUUCAUCUGUCCUUAUACUCUUUUUAAUUCCUCUUAAUUGCUCAUAUUCCUGCUGUGCCUCUCUUUCUCCUCCCGCCUCUUUAUUUAGUGAAAGGUUUCGACAAAGAGCGACACAUGAAAAAAGAAAAACUUUUUUUUUUUUACUUUAAUUCAAGCUUGCAUCGGACGCCAUGCUUAUACAACUUACUUCACACUGGGAUUCAACCGGUGAUGCAUGCACAACAAUUUAGGCCCAGUUCUUUUGGAAUGUUAACUCAAACAGUCUUUUUACUUUGGGGAAUACUUAGCCAGGGACUACAAGUCUUAUAGUUCAUGUAGGACACCAUGCCAACAUGAUUCAUACCCUCACAUAGGGGUUCUGCUCACCAGGACUCAAACGGCCACCUUACCUCAACGUCCAGAGCGUAAGAUCCUAUUCUUUUGGAAUAUUACUAGAAGAGGUUGUAGUAUAAACAUAAGGCUACUAGUACCAAUCUUGAUCGAGAGCUUUAGACUACUCUCUGGUUAUAUACCAAUCCACUACUCCUGAUAUAAUACAGAAUUCAAGUGUCCUAAUCACUCCCUAAGGAAGAUCUUCGAUCUUAACCCACUUCCAAUCAUUUCGGAAGAGUGGUACUAGAAUUUACAAUUUAAACUAUGGGCUUACAUGUACAUAAUGCUCUUAUCUUGUCCUUUCAUCUGUCCUUAAUUCCUUUAAUUUUAGAGUACUACUCACUCAUGCUUAUUAUGAACAUAUUAAUAGUAAGAUUUGAAAAAAAAAAACUUACAGGAAUGAUGUGAAGAUUCAAAACUUCCUUGUAUUGCUUUCUGAUUUUUAAUAUCGAACUUCUUUUACAAAGACCCCAAAAACUUCCUAGGACUAUUUAUAAGAUCAAAAUUACAUUCAAAUGAAACUUCAUUCCAGAUUCAUGUAACUUGAAUCUGAAUUACAUAUCACUUUUGACAGGGACAGCUGUCAACAUACUUAUCUAUACAGAUUCCGAUAAUCUUUAUUUGGCAUAAUCCUUUUGGACAUUCUACGAGUAUGUGCCACGAUACUCUAUUUUUUCAAAAGAUUUUUCUUUUUAAAAGCUUCUUUUUGAAAGCUGUAGAUGAGAGGAUAAAAAUUCUUCAAUCGUCUUUACUUUAUGCUUCUGGCAAGUCCUUUUUAGAUGCGCUGGAGGCUUCUGAAUAGAGAUUCUUUGAAAAUAUCUACUCCAUUCUUGUCUUUGUAGAUUCGGCUUUUGCUUUUAUCAUCUCUGAAAAGACUUUUUCAUACUCUUCUUUUUUCUUUAAUGACUCUUCCAUCUUUUGAAUUGUGUCAAGAAGAUUCUCAUAUGCUGGUGGUGACAGUGUUGCUGACAUCAUAGCGUUAUUCUUCUGGAUAAGCUUCAGAGUUUCUUGUAAUUCUUGGACUUCUUUUUCUUUGGAGGCUAAGUGAUGAUAAUAUUUCUGUUCGUUUUCUUUGGUAACCUGCAAUUCUGUUUUAAGCUGCAACUCAUUCUUUUGUAAUUCUGCAAUUCUGGAGUUUGUUGUAUCACAUUGUUUACACUUAAUUAAUACUUCCUUAAAACUUGUAUCUCUGACCUUAGAUACUGGGAAUCUAAGGGCUGCUGCUAUAUAAAAAUUUGGACCAAGAUUACAACGAGCGUAAUCUAGUGCUUCUUCUAAUUUAUGGAACCCUUUAAACCAAGGAUGCUUGGGAUAAUUCUUGAGUUGUAAAACUUCUGUCCACCUAUCAUAUACCCCCGGAGUAUGUCCUUCAACAAGAACAUAAUAGGGAUAAUUUUCUUUUAUGGCUUCUUUUUAUCUUAGCAAAUUGAUAACUACAGCAAUUAAUGCUGGUCAUAAAAUGCUCUCUUCUUUGCUUAUUAUAUGGAUCUUUCAAGAUCUUAUUAUAUGAUACCCACAGAUUAUCUAAAAUAACCUGCUCUUUAGUGCCUAUUGUAUACAUAUUUCUGAACCCAAAGGGCUCAUCUAUCGGCUUUAGAAAACUUCUUCCAUAUUGAAUCCCAUGUUCAGGGGCUUCUUUAGAUUGCUUGUUAUUGUUGAUGUUUUUUGAAAACAUUAAAGUCAUCUUUGUUAUAUGUUUGGAUAGUUGUAAUUGGUGUUUAAUAAAUACCGCUUAUUUUGGAUUGGUAACUUCUUGCUUUUUAACUAGGCACAAUGGCUCCAAUUUUCAUGAUAAGUUAUUAUUAUUAUUAUUAUUUUUAUUAUUAUGCGGCAUAGUUUGGGAGCUAUAGGAGGGUCUUGGGAUAUGUUUGUAUUGGGUUGAGCGGCUCUGUGGUCCCUUGGUUAUUUCUUAUUCUCACGUAUGCUUUGUUGGUUGUACUUUGUUGUUAUGGGAGCAUUAUAUUAGUUUUCAUUAAUAGUGGUAUCAAUCUUUUGGGAGUUGGUUUGCAGGAUGUGAUUUGCGAUAUUUGAUGUAUGGUUGUUUGGAAGAGCUAGAUCAGCUGGGGUUUCAAUAAACAUAGUGAUUGGAUUGAUAUUUGAUUUAUUUGCACUAUGUUAUGAUUGAAAUUGAUACGCAGUAUUCAAAACAUAUGAAGCAUGGCUGUGGGGGAUGUUCGGAUGGGAAUGCAGAUUGGCUGUUUGUGAGGGAAGGGGGUUUCAUUUAUAUUUUUGAUUGGAUUUAUCUUAUUUUAUUUCUUGGUUUAGCAAGCUGACAUUGAUCUUUGAAAUUCCAUUCUUUAGGAACCGUUUGGAAUUGAAUGAAAGGUUAAGAGGGUGGGUGUAUAUGAGACGCAAAGUCUGGGUAAAGAAUCAUUCCAUUAGGAACUUCUCUCUAAUUAAUAUGUGAAUCUGUUAAUGUCCUAGUUUGUUUAAGAGGUUUUGAUGGAUUAGGGGCUUGAUUAUUUGGUUUAUAAUACACAUACAUCAUGAAUUGCAGAGAGAUGGAUCUUAUGAAGCUAGCUUUAUGAAUAAUGGGGUUCCUCUUAAUGACAUGCAGCAUCAUGUGCAUUGGGAUUGAAACUUAUGGAGUUAGGUUCAAGAAUAAAGACGUAGGUGGGAGGACUUUAGGAGGGGCUUUGGAUAUGUGGUUUUGGGUUGAGCGGUUCUAUGGUCCCUUGGUUAUUCCCUGUCACUUGUGUUAUUCCUUGUACUUUGUUGAGUUGUUUGAGUUUAUGAUGGCAGUCGAUAUUAGUUUUGAUUAAUCUUGGUUUAAUUUUGUUGGAGUUGGUUUGCAGGAUGUGAUUCAAAAUAUUUGAUGGAUGUUUGUUUGUAAGAGUAGAGGGUUUCAUUAAACAUAAUGAUUUGAUUGAUACUUGAUUUGAUGAUGUAUGCUUUGAUAAUAAUGUUACAUAGUUAAUUUCUUUUCAGAAAUUGAUAUGCAGCGUGCAAAGGAUACGAAGCAUCUCUUUGGGGGGUGGAGGUUUCAAUGCCCGGAUGGGAAUGCUGUUCUAUUGUUGCUUGUUUAAAGAGAUUGAUGAAAGGGGGUUUCAUAUAUAUUUUCGACUGUAUUUAUCUCUUUUAUUUUAUUUCCUGGUUUAGUGGUGUUUUAGUAGACCUUUAAUACCUUGGGUUUAUCUGCUUUAUUCAUUUAUAUUUUUUUAAGAUUUAUCUUUAUUUUAUUUCCUGAAGAAUGUUGAAGAAUGGGGAAUUGUGGAAUUCAAGAAUCUAAUAAAGACUUGAAGACCAUUAAACUGAGAUGCA